UCUCGGCUCUCCUGGCGGAAGCGGAAACGGCGCUCGCGCCGCCGAGUCGUCUGGCUUGCUGGCUCCGGAAGCCACUCUCCACCUUUCUCGUUGAUCUCCUGUCACUAUGGCGCUGGCUGUCUUGCGUCUCCUAGAGCCCUUUCCGACCGAGACACCCCCAUUGGCAGUGCUGCUGCCGCCUGGGGGCCCGUGGCCGGCGGCGGGGCUGGGCAUGGUGCUGGCCCUGCGGCCUGCAGGGGAGAGCCCGGCAGGGCCAGCGCUGCUAGUGGCGGCCCUGGAAGGGCCGGGCGCGGGGACCGAAGAGCAAGGUCCCGGGCCUCCGGAGCUGCUGGUUAGUCGCGCGCUGCUGCGGCUCCUGGCACUGGGUUCCGGGGCGUGGGUGCGGGCGCGUCCCGUGCGGCGGCCCCCGGCGCUGGGCUGGGCGCUGCUUGGCACCUCGUCGGGGCCUGGGCUCGGACCACGAGUCGGGCAACUGCUGGUGAGGCGCGGAGAAACCCUGCCAGUGUCCGGACCGCGGGUCCUGGAGACGCGGCCGGCGUUGCAAGGGCUGCUGGGCCCAGGGACUCGGCUGGCUGUGACUGAGCUCCGCGGGCGAGCCAGGCCGUGCUCCGAGACUGGGGACCGCAGCCGGCCCCCACCCCCACCCGUGGUGUCCUCCUUUGCGGUUUCUGGCGGAGUCCGGCGACUCCAGGGAGUUCUGGGAGGGACUGGAGAUUCACUGGGAGUGAGCCGGAGUUGUCUCCGUGGCCUCGGCCUUUUCCAGGGAGAAUGGGUGUGGGUGGCCCGGGCCGGAGAGCCGUCUGACACUUGCCAGCCGCACUUGGCCACAGUGCAGGUCCUAGAACCUCGCUGGGACCUCUCUCAAAGGCUGGGACCUGGCUCUGGGCAGCUGGGAGAGCCCCUCGCUGACGGACUGGCGCUUGUGCCUGCCACUCUGGCUUUUAAUCUCGGCUGCGACCCCCUCGAAGUGGGAGAGCUCAGAAUUCAGAGGUACUUGGAAGGCUCCAUUGCCCCCGAAGACAAAGGAAGCUGCUCAUUGCUGCCUGGGCCUCCGUUUGCCAGAGAGUUACACAUUGAAAUUGUGUCCUCUCCCCACUACAGCACUAAUGGGAAUUAUGACCAUGUUCUUUACCGGCACUUUCAGACACCCAGGGUAGUCCAGGAAGGGGACGUUCUGUGUGUGCCAACAGUUGGGCAAGUAGAGAUCCUGGAAGGAAGUCCAGAGAAACUGCCCAGGUGGCGGGAGAUGUUUUUUAAAGUGAAGAAAACAGUUGGGGAAGCUCCAGGUGGGCCAACUGGCGCCUACUUGGCUGACACCACCCAUACGUCCUUGUACAUGGUAGGUUCGACCCUGAACCCCGUUCCAAGGCUCCCUUCAGGAGAAUUCACUGUCUGGAGCAGUUUGUCUCCUCCGGGCUUGGAGGCCUUGGUGACCGAGCUCUGUGCUGUCCUGAAGCCCCGCCUCCAGCCAGGGGGUGCUUUACUGACAGGAACUAGCAGCGUCCUUCUACGGGGCCCCCGGGGCAGUGGGAAGACCACAGUAGUUGCUGCUGCCUGCGGUCGCCUUGGGCUUCACUUAGUGAAGGUGCCCUGCUCCAGCCUCUGCGCAGACAGUAGCGCAGCUAUGGAGACAAAGCUGCAGGCCGCCUUCUCCCGGGCCCGCCGCUGCCGGCCUGCGGUCCUCUUGCUGACGGCCGUGGACCUUCUAGGUCGGGACCGCGAUGGGCUGGGUGAGGAUGCCCGUGUGGUGGCCACGCUGCGCCACCUCCUCCUCAGCGAGGACCCCCUCAGCAGCUGCCCUCCCCUGAUGGUUGUGGCCACGACGAGCCAGGCCCAGGACCUGCCUGCUGACGUGCAGACGGCAUUUCCGCACGAGCUGGAGGUGCCUGUGCUGUCCGAGGGGCAGCGGCUCCGCGUCCUGCGGGCCCUCACUGCCCACCUUCCCCUGGGCCAAGAGGUGAACCUGGCACAGCUGGCGAGGCGGUGCUCAGGCUUCGUGGUAGGGGAUCUCUGUGCCCUUCUGACCCACAGCAGCCGCGCAGCCUGCACCAGGAUCAAGAACUCAGGUUUGGCGGGCAGCCUGAGCGAGGAGGAUGAGGGGGAGCUGUGUGCUGCUGGCUUUCCCCUCCUGGCUGAGGACUUUGGGCAGGCGCUAGAGCAACUGCAGACAGCUCACUCCCAGGCCAUUGGAGCCCCCAAGAUCCCCUCGGUGUCCUGGCAUGAUGUGGGCGGGCUGCAGGAGGUGAAGAAGGAGAUUUUGGAGACCAUUCAGCUCCCUCUGGAGCACCCUGAGCUGCUGAGCCUGGGCUUGAGACGCUCGGGCCUUCUGCUCCACGGGCCCCCUGGCACUGGCAAGACCCUCCUGGCCAAGGCAGUAGCCACUGAGUGCAGCCUUACCUUCCUCAGCGUGAAGGGGCCAGAGCUCAUCAACAUGUACGUGGGCCAAAGUGAGGAGAACGUGCGGGAAGAUGCUCCCGAGCUUCCCUCUCCUGUGGGCCUCUCUGUCUCCAGUGUUUGCCAGGGCCCGGGCUGCAGCUCCAUGCAUUAUCUUCUUCGAUGAACUGGACUCCCUGGCCCCCAACCGGGGGCGAAGUGGAGACUCUGGAGGGGUGAUGGACAGGGUGGUGUCUCAGCUCCUGGCUGAGCUGGAUGGGCUUCACAGCACUCAGGAUGUCUUUGUGAUCGGAGCCACCAACAGACCAGACCUCCUGGACCCUGCCCUCCUGCGACCUGGCAGAUUUGACAAGCUGGUGUUUGUGGGGGCGAGUGAGGACCGGGCCUCCCAGCUACGUGUUCUGAGCGCCAUCACACGCAAAUUCAAGCUAGAGCCCUCUGUGAGCCUGGUGAACGUGCUGGAUUGCUGCCCUCCCCAGCUGACAGGCGCGGACCUCUACUCUCUCUGCUCCGAUGCCAUGACAGCUGCCCUCAAACGCAGGGUUCAUGAUCUGGAGGAAGGGCUGGAGCCUGGGAGCUCAGCACUGCUGCUCACCAUGGAGGACCUGCUGCACGCCGCUGCCCGGCUGCAGCCCUCGGUCAGUGAGCAGGAGCUGCUCCGGUACAAGCGCAUCCAGUGCAAGUUUGCUGCCUGCUAGGAGCUCCUGCGGUCAGGGACCCUGCCCACAAUGCCUAAAGGUACCCAGCUAGCCCCACACAGAGACCUGAGAGAGAAAGGCUCUUCCUCAGGCUGCUGCCCACCCACCUGAAGGCUACCUCCUCCCUCCAGGAGAGCCCCCCGGGUGCAGAGUGGCAUCGAGAGCCCAGCGAGGGCUCAAGAGGCAUCUCCUGCCUUCUUGCCCCUCCUUCCAGGCCAGGUCUAAGACGAAGGCCCAUCUGGUCAGGAGGAGGGCUGGAGCCUGGGCUUCUGGGGAUUGAGCCCUGAGGGGGCCAGUUCCAUGGCUAAAAAUAAAGUGUUUGCCUCCCCCUGCUGGUGUGGUGUGAAAGAGUGGAGUGGGGAGGAACAGGGUUGUGGGAGGAGUAAGCCGUCAGAGAGGGCAGGGGUGGGCACUGUGACAGCCUGAUCU
This is an RNA transcript of Propithecus coquereli (Coquerel's sifaka), 3521 nucleotides long. It is a transcript of the gene named peroxisomal biogenesis factor 6, with no coding region annotated. NCBI's taxonomy places the organism in Eukaryota, Metazoa, Chordata, Mammalia, Primates, Indriidae. The transcript has 17 exons. The record is from RefSeq and is a predicted model, not a curated record.